GACGAACGCUGGCGGCGUGCUUAACACAUGCAAGUCGAACGGAAAGGCCCUGCUUUUGUGGGUUGCUCGAUUGGCGAACGGGUGAGUAACACGUGAGUAACCUGCCCUUGUCUUUGUGAUAUCUUCAGGAAACUGGGGCUAAUACCGGAUAGGAUCUCCUGCUGCAUGUUGGUGGUUGGAAAGUUUCGGCGGUUGUGGCUGGACUCGCUGCUUAUCAGCUUCUUGGUGUGGUAGUGGCUUACCAAGGCUUCGACGGGUAGCCUGCCUGAGAGGGUGAACGGCGACAUGGGGACUGAGAGACGGACCAGACUCGUACGGGAGGCAGCAGGGGGGAACAUUGCACAAUGGGGGGAAGCGUGAGGCAGAAACGCCGGGUGCGGGAAGACGGGCUUCGGGUUGUAAACCGAUUUCGCCGGUGACGAAGCGUGAGUGACGGUAAUGGGUAAAGAAGCAACGGCUAACUACGUG
RNAcentral lists this ribosomal RNA (468 nucleotides) under uncultured bacterium. RNAcentral's name for it is "partial 16S ribosomal RNA". It matches the Rfam family "Bacterial small subunit ribosomal RNA", at positions 28 to 507 of the family's 1533-position model. The record is from RNAcentral.